UACGUAGGGUGCGAGCGUUAAUCGGAAUUACUGGGCGUAAAGCGUGCGUAGGCGGUUCGUUAAGUUCGUUGUGAAAGCCCCGGGCUCAACCUGGGAAUGGCAGUGGAAACUAGGGGACUGGAAUCUGGCAGAGGGGGGUGGAAUGCCGCGUGUAGCAGUGAAAUGCGUAGAGAUGCGGCGGAACACCGAUGGCGAAGGCAGCCCCCUGGGCUGAGAUUGACGCUCAGGCACGAAAGCGUGGGGAGCAAACAGG
RNAcentral lists this ribosomal RNA (253 nucleotides) under uncultured bacterium. RNAcentral's name for it is "partial 16S ribosomal RNA". It matches the Rfam family "Bacterial small subunit ribosomal RNA", at positions 524 to 776 of the family's 1533-position model. The record is from RNAcentral.